Molecule: ribosomal RNA, 460 nt
Filed under: uncultured bacterium
Lineage: Bacteria
Description: partial 16S ribosomal RNA
Rfam family: Bacterial small subunit ribosomal RNA
Source: RNAcentral
CCUACGGGAGGCAGCCGUGAGGAAUAUUGGUCAAUGGACGAGAGUCUGAACCAGCCAAGUAGCGUGAAGGAUGACUGCACUAUGGGUUGUAAACUUCUUUUAUCUGGGAAUAAAAUGUUCCACGUGUGGGAUUUUGUAUGUACCUUAUGAAUAAGGAUCGGCUAACUCCGUGCCAGCAGCCGCGGUAAUACGGAGGAUUCGAGCGUUAUCCGGAUUUAUUGGGUUUAAAGGGAGCGUAGGUGGGUUGUUAAGUCAGUUGUGAAAGGUUGCGGCUCAACCGUAAAGUUGCAGUUGAAACGGGCAGUCUUGAGUACAGUAGAGGUGGGCGGAAUUCGUGGUGUAGCGGUGAAAUGCUUAGAUAUCACGAAGAACUCCGAUUGCGAAGGCAGUUCACUGGACUGCAACUGACACUGAGGCUCGAAAGUGUGGGUAUCAAACAGGAUUAGAUACCCCAGUAGUC